UUGCUACUCCCUCCGUCCGAAAAAACUUGUCGUCAAAAUGGACAAAAAAGGGUGUAUCUAGAACUAAAAUACAUCUAGAUACAUCCUCUUUUAUUUAUUUUGAUGACAAGUAUUUCCGGACAGAGGGAGUACAUU
Triticum aestivum (bread wheat) is the source of this 135-nucleotide non-coding RNA. NCBI's taxonomy places the organism in Eukaryota, Viridiplantae, Streptophyta, Magnoliopsida, Poales, Poaceae. The record is from Rfam.